Small nucleolar RNA from Sorex fumeus (smoky shrew), 138 nucleotides. RefSeq annotates it as small nucleolar RNA U109. The transcript has a single exon. NCBI's taxonomy places the organism in Eukaryota, Metazoa, Chordata, Mammalia, Eulipotyphla, Soricidae. The record is from RefSeq and is a predicted model, not a curated record.
UUUCAUGUGGAAAUGCCUGCUCCCUCUUCUUUUUGGGGCAGGAAUACAUCCAUAACAUGCUAUAUUACAAAUUUUUAAAAAGUAGUCCAGUGCUACCAACCUUCUAUAGAGGUUAAGUAGUUUAUUUCUCCUACACAC